RNAcentral lists this ribosomal RNA (449 nucleotides) under uncultured bacterium. RNAcentral describes it as "bacterial SSU rRNA". It matches the Rfam family "Bacterial small subunit ribosomal RNA", at positions 28 to 505 of the family's 1533-position model. The record is from RNAcentral.
GGCUAACGCUGGCGGCGCGCCUAACACAUGCAAGUCGAACGAAGUCUUCGGACUUAGUGGCAGACGGGUGAGUAACGCGUGAACAAUGUGCCUUAUUACUGGGGAUACCGUUGCGAAAGUGACGUUAAUACCGAAUGUGGUGUUUCUGGAGCAUUUUAGAGACAUUAAACUGUAUGGGUGAUAAGAGCAGUUCGCGUUCUAUCAGCUUGUUGGUGGGGUAAUGGCCUACCAAGGCAACGACGGAUAGCUGGUCUGAGAGGAUGAUCAGCCACACUGGGACUGAGACACGGCCCAGACUCCUACGGGAGGCAGCAGUGAGGAAUCUUGCACAAUGGGGGAAACCCUGAUGCAGCGACGCCGCGUGAGGGACGAAUGCCUUCGGGUUGUAAACCUCUGUCAGUAGGGAAGAAGAUUGACGGUACCUACUGAGGAAGCUUCGGCUAACUACG